GAUGGUGCACUGAAGAAAGAUGUGAGUCCAGCCAAACCGGGUUUACUAUGGUUGCGAGAAAUAUCAAUUGUGGAUCUGCUCGAUGAAGAAUAUCGACUGCUGCGGGAUUUCUUAGAGGAUCUGCUGCGGCUUAUAUGUGAUACAGAUGAUAUGACGGAUGCAGCACCGGCAGCAGUGGCUGCUGUUCUCAAAUCGGAAUGUAUCUUCUCACGAGACGUAGGUCGGGAACGCGAUCGUGAUCGCGAUUUUGGUCGACCGUUCCCGUGGCGGGAUGUUUCAUAUGAACCACUAUGCCAGCUUGCAUCAUCCUUUCGGUGUCGCGUGUCAAGUCCCAUCGGAGAGCGACUGCGAAUAGAGUAAUUUGCAGGUGGCUCAGACGUACGAUUCUUCUUCCCUAGAGAUGAAGCGCUAGUACUUGUCGUGAAACUAUCAGGUCGCCCAGAACGAAUACUAUUUAGAUCAUCAAACUCUUUUUUGCUUCCGUCAGAAAGAAGUGACUUAGUAAUAUAACCAGCAAGGCCGGCUGCAAGCCAAGAUUUCUUGUUAGACUUUGUACGACGGCUCUCAUCACCAGAUGAUGAGGGAUAUCUGCUCAACUUUUCCACUCUAGUUUGUCUACCACGGUACUCGUCAGAAUACCUACGUCUGGCAGGGCGGUGUUUACGCGGCGCAUCCCUUGAAGUAGUUCCCGGUUCGAAGCAAUAUUUGCAAAUACCGGUGUAUUCGGAGUAUUCCUCAUACUGGGCGACAGCCUCUGAGUCUUUCCAGAAAUUUACAAACUUUCUAAAUGGACCAUGCUGGCGUUGGUGGUAGGCUAAGGAACCUGGUUGAUAUGGCUGGGCCGUUUGGAAGGGUUGCUGGUGUACGAUACCAGAGUACAUGCUGGGUCCCUGCGGGGAGACAGUCGUUUGGCUUGUCGCUGCGGCAUAUCCUGCGGCAGCGCCCAGUGCGGCGGCACCUACAAUAGGCAUGGAAUGGUGCUUGUUUGGUUUUGGUGGGCGUCCACCAUUGAACAGAGGAUUGUCUGGCUGCUGGGCGGGAUGCAGUGUUGAUUCGUGGUGAGGAGAAAAUGGUGAGGAAGUAGAGUGGUGUUCAUUGGAACUUCCCAUCAAUGAACUGAUUCCGGGGUUUGUCCGGC
Molecule: small RNA, 1138 nt
Filed under: Histoplasma capsulatum var. duboisii H88
Lineage: Eukaryota; Fungi; Ascomycota; Eurotiomycetes; Onygenales; Ajellomycetaceae
Description: Histoplasma capsulatum H88 hypothetical RNA
Source: RNAcentral